RNAcentral lists this ribosomal RNA (434 nucleotides) under Salmonella enterica subsp. enterica serovar Typhimurium. RNAcentral describes it as "bacterial SSU rRNA". It matches the Rfam family "Bacterial small subunit ribosomal RNA", at positions 1109 to 1533 of the family's 1533-position model. Lineage: Bacteria; Pseudomonadati; Pseudomonadota; Gammaproteobacteria; Enterobacterales; Enterobacteriaceae. The record is from RNAcentral.
CCUUUGUUGCCAGCGAUUAGGUCGGGAACUCAAAGGAGACUGCCAGUGAUAAACUGGAGGAAGGUGGGGAUGACGUCAAGUCAUCAUGGCCCUUACGACCAGGGCUACACACGUGCUACAAUGGCGCAUACAAAGAGAAGCGACCUCGCGAGAGCAAGCGGACCUCAUAAAGUGCGUCGUAGUCCGGAUUGGAGUCUGCAACUCGACUCCAUGAAGUCGGAAUCGCUAGUAAUCGUGGAUCAGAAUGCCACGGUGAAUACGUUCCCGGGCCUUGUACACACCGCCCGUCACACCAUGGGAGUGGGUUGCAAAAGAAGUAGGUAGCUUAACCUUCGGGAGGGCGCUUACCACUUUGUGAUUCAUGACUGGGGUGAAGUCGUAACAAGGUAACCGUAGGGGAACCUGCGGUUGGAUCACCUCCUUACCUUAAAGAA